GACGAACGCUGGCGGCGUGCCUAAUACAUGCAAGUAGAACGCACAGUUUAUACCGUAGCUUGCUACACCAUAGACUGUGAGUUGCGAACGGGUGAGUAACGCGUAGGUAACCUGCCUGGUAGCGGGGGAUAACUAUUGGAAACGAUAGCUAAUACCGCAUAAUAUUGAUUAUUGCAUGAUAAUUAAUUGAAAGGUGCAAUUGCACCACUACCAGAUGGACCUGCGUUGUAUUAGCUAGUAGGUGAGGUAACGGCUCACCUAGGCGACGAUACAGAGCCGACCUGAGAGGGUGAUCGGCCACACUGGGACUGAGACACGGCCCAGACUCCUACGGGAGGCAGCAGUAGGGAAUCUUCGGCAAUGGACGAAAGUCUGACCGAGCAACGCCGCGUGAGUGAAGAAGGUUGUCGGAUCGUAAAGCUCUGUUGUAAGAGAAGAACGGGUGUGAGAGUGGAAAGUUCACACUGUGACGGUAGCUUACCAGAAAGGGACGGCUAACUACGUG
This 505-nucleotide ribosomal RNA is filed under the name uncultured bacterium. Its description in RNAcentral is "partial 16S ribosomal RNA". It matches the Rfam family "Bacterial small subunit ribosomal RNA", at positions 28 to 507 of the family's 1533-position model. The record is from RNAcentral.